RNAcentral lists this ribosomal RNA (639 nucleotides) under uncultured archaeon. RNAcentral describes it as "bacterial SSU rRNA". It matches the Rfam family "Archaeal small subunit ribosomal RNA", at positions 175 to 817 of the family's 1478-position model. The record is from RNAcentral.
AUGGAUCCUGGCUUAAAUCUACAUGGCCCCUGGAUUGGACUGCGGCCGAUCAGGCUGUUGGUGAGGUAAUGGCCCACCAAACCUAUAACCGGUACGGGCUCUGAGAGGAGAAGCCCGGAGAUGGGCACUAAGAUAAGGGCCCAGGCCCUACGGGGCGCAGCAGGCGCGAAAACUCCGCAAUGCGCGAAAGCGUGACGGGGUUACCCCGAGUGCCGUCCGCUGAGGAUGGCUUUUGCCCGGUUUAACUAGCCAGGUGAAUAAGGGGAGGGCAAGUCUGGUGUCAGCCGCCGCGGUAAUACCAGCUCCCCGAGUGGUUGGGACGAUUAUUGGGUCUGAAGCGUCCGUAGCCGGCCGGAAAAGUUCCCCGUUAAAUCUGGCGAUCCAAUCGCUGGGCUGCGGGGAAUACUCUUCGGCUUGGGGGCGAGGGAGGUCGGCGGUAGUCCCGGGGUAGGGGCGAAAUCCUAUAAUCCCGGGAGGACCACCAGUGGCGAAGGCGGCCGACUAAAGCGCGCCCGACGGUGAGGGACGAAAGCUGGGGGAGCGAACGGGAUUAGAUACCCCGGUAGUCCCAGCUGUAAACGAUGCAGGCUAGGUGUUGGGACGGCUACGAGCUGUCCCAGUGCCGCAGGGAAGCCAUUA